UACGGGGGGAGCAAGCGUUGUUCGGAUUUACUGGGCGUAAAGGGCGCGUAGGCGGUCAGCACAAGUCAGUUGUGAAAUCUCCGGGCUUAACCCGGAAAGGUCAACUGAUACUGUGCGACUAGAGUGCGGAAGGGGCAACUGGAAUUCUCGGUGUAGCGGUGAAAUGCGUAGAUAUCGAGAGGAACACCUGCGGCGAAGGCAGCCCCUGGGUCAAGAUUGACGCUCAUGCACGAAAGCGUGGGGAGCAAACAGG
This 253-nucleotide ribosomal RNA is filed under the name uncultured bacterium. RNAcentral describes it as "partial 16S ribosomal RNA". It matches the Rfam family "Bacterial small subunit ribosomal RNA", at positions 524 to 776 of the family's 1533-position model. The record is from RNAcentral.